RNAcentral lists this non-coding RNA (198 nucleotides) under Clostridiaceae bacterium. Its description in RNAcentral is "6S RNA". It matches the Rfam family "6S / SsrS RNA". From Rfam's summary of the family: E. coli 6S RNA was the first non coding RNA to be sequenced, but its function was unknown until recently. It consists of 184 nucleotides that fold into an extended hairpin structure with a large single-stranded internal bulge. The record is from RNAcentral. Lineage: Bacteria; Bacillati; Bacillota; Clostridia; Eubacteriales; Clostridiaceae.
AAGAUCCUGAAAUGUACGUGUAGCCUAUAUAUUCAACCUACAUUACAAAUCCGGGAUUGCUAAUAGAGAAAAUGAUAUCAGACUUUAAAGGUAGCUACCUAUUCCUAGGAUCAUAAGUAGAUAAACAGUUUUCUUGAGGCGAACCCACCUGCUUAGGGCAGGUAUGGAUUAAUAGGUGAACGGCAUGUCGGGAAACUU